This is a long non-coding RNA of Manduca sexta (tobacco hornworm), 395 nucleotides long. RefSeq lists it as uncharacterized. The record is from RefSeq and is a predicted model, not a curated record. The transcript is spliced from 2 exons. Lineage: Eukaryota; Metazoa; Arthropoda; Insecta; Lepidoptera; Sphingidae.
UUAAGGCGAGUACAUAGUGGUUUGUCACGGGUUAUUUGUCCAAGGUACUGCGGUAAGUGUUCACCUUACAGCAUUCAGUGUGUCGGUAAACCUCGAACGAUCGCCGCGGACUCUCACGUCCUUUGCAAAUGAAAAAUUGUACUCGGUGCAUAGUGAUACAUAAACAAACAUGUACGCCUAUGGACUUUAUAGGGACUCUGGCGUGGCGUGGUGUCUGUGCUCUUCCAGUGCCUAACUUUACUAAUUUGAGGAUAUCGCAGUGAAUAUUUUUCCUAAGUGUUAUGGAGUUUCAAUAUUAUGGAAAUUAUGACCGACCUCCAUCGCGCCGUAUCCAGGACCAGCCCUGGUGGGAUGAGGAGGAUAAUCUGUCAGACAGACGAAUUAAUGGUAAGACA